GGAAGAAAAUUGUCUAUUCGUUAUAUUUGUUUUAAAUUGUUGCAUGACAUUGAGUUCCUGCUUGGAACAGUACAAAAAUCUCUAGUUAAUGGAGAAGAAGUCCAGCCUGAAUGGUCUAUGUACCUUGCCAUUUUGGAAGAACUGAACUUCAUUUCUAGACUUUGCCCCCAUUCUCGGGAUAAAUUUUGGAGUGUAUUAAAAAGUGCAAAGCUUCCAUUAGGUGCUCUAAUUGUUCGAUUCGCUAAGAGAAGAGAUGGCUAUGACUAUCAAUUGCUUCUUGAGCACAACGAUGUAACUGAUAGUGAUUCCAGGAUGCACUUGGCCAUGUUGAUGAUCCCUGGUGUUAAGGAAUCUACAGAUGCAGAGUUGAUGAAGAAGCUAGUUUUCUGGUCUCAAGAUUUGGACACAGAUCAAUUUAGGGCAUUCCAACAUAAGAGUCUUAAAGAUCCUCAAGUAUUACAGGAUUGCUUAUGCAAGUCAUGUGAAGUUAUAUUCAACCCAAAUAAUCCCCUUUUCCUGGCACAUCCAGGCGAUUCUCCAAGUUUCAAUGUUAAUCCUGGUAAGUUCAAUCCCAAAAGGGUAACUUAGUUAACGAAAUUAGAAUCCAAGACUGUUAAUUUGGUGGAAUUAAUAUCAUUUCCUUACUUAUACACAUGUUAUAUAAGCAGAAUUCAAUCCUGAACCCUCCCACUAUGAAUUUGUGGAAUUUGCUGGCAAAGUGAUUGCAUUAGCUUUAAUACAUAAAGUGAGAAUAGGUGUCGCAUUGGACGGUGUGUUCCUAACGCAGCUAGCCAAUUCAUCUAUGUCUUAUACGUCUAAUAAGGAUCUGCUGGUAAGUUCAAUAAUUCCGAACAUUUGGGAUUUUUUCGAGAUAGGUUGUGAUACAGUAAGGCUCUUGAACUUAAUUUGCCGCUAAUAUAUCUUAAACAGGUAUCAUUUUUUGCUCAAGGCUUUGCCAGUGUUUUUGGCGUGUCAUUCAAAGAAUUGUUGUCUUUCAAAGGAUUACAAUAUGAAGACAUUAAUCAAGUGCUGUGUGGACCCUCGACAAGUUCAGUACUAUCUAAUAGUAGUGGGAAAAGAAAGAAGGAGAUACGCAUCGAUCCUCCAUUGUCUCACGGCAAGGAGGUAAGGACUUUUCUGGUUUUUACUUGGUUUCCCCAAGUUUUGAUUUUUUUUUUUUUUUUUUUCUGUAAGAGUAAAUUUUUUAUACUAAAAGUUCUCCACAAAUCUUCAAGUAUUGCAAGGAUUUACCCUUUCAGGUUACAGUAGCGCUAAAAGUUCUAAACUGCUGUUAAAUCUGCAAACUUAAUCUACCACCGUUGUAGACUAGUUGAGAACUAAAGCAAGCGUGAUGAAUUUGGCAGGUCAAAAAACCAGAACGUAACUUUAGGAAUUGGCAAAGGGGCUCAAUGUUGGGAAGUGGGUCGUUUGGAGAAGUCUACAAAGGAACUGCUGAUCCCAACGGAUUCCUUUUUGCUGCAAAAAAAGUUCCACUUGAAGACACACAAAAAGUCAGCUCAAUUGAGCAUACGGUUGGUUCACUACGUCAACUACAUCACGAAAAUAUAGUCGAAUAUUUUGGCACAAAAAAGGAGGAAGCAAAUCUCUAUAUUUUUCACGAGUUUGUAAGUGGAGGGUCUCUCGAUAAAGUUCAUAAAGAAUUAAUCCUUGAUGAUGCCCGAGUGUCCUGCUACACACAACAGAUACUGAAAGGUUUGAAGUAUCUCCAUGAGCAAAAUGUUAUGCAUGGAGACAUCAAAUGUGCAAACAUACUGUUGAAUGAUAAAGGAGUUGUGCAGAUUGCUGAUUUUGGAUUGGCAAAGGUAAUUGAUUCAGAGAAUCUCCACAACUCAAGCAGAGCGAUUCCAGCCUGGUCCGCUCCUGAGGUCAUUGAUUCGACACGACAAGGAGGAUAUGGACUUGAAGCAGAUAUAUGGAGCCUUGGCUGUACCGUAUUAGAGAUGCUAACUGGAGAAUAUCCAUAUUGUCAUUUAGAACCCUGGACGAUAUGGUAUCGGAUUGGAGAAGGCAUUCCACCUGAUGUUCCUGAUUUUCUCUCUGAUACUUCCCGUGACUUUAUCGAGAAAUGCCUACAAAUUGAUCCAAAGGCACGUCCAACUGCUGCCCAGCUUUUACAGCAUCCAUUUGUAAAGAGGUGAAAGCAAUCAGCAGCACCUGCAAGCAGAAUGAGAAAAAUAUGUCAUGAACUGACGACAAAAUGGAUUGAUUAAUGCUUAUAGUAAAGAGCGAUGUAUGAUUUAAUUUGAUAUAUGGUGCAAAUUGCUGAUUUUGGAUUGGGAAAUGUAAUUGCUUAGAAUCUUUAAUUUGGUAUCACAGGAAUCUUCUUAUAUGGCAACACUCGCUGUUAGGAUCAUAUACAAUGGAUCCUAACUGUUCAUGCGAGAAUAACAUAACAGUAGUGUUUGGAAGAUGAGAAAAGAAAAGAAAGGGUGAGAGAGAGAGAAUAGAAAAGAGGAUAGUAUAUUCAUUCGUUAAUUUAUUAACCUUCAAUAUCUCAAUACAAGAGUACAUACAAUGUGCCUGCUCAACACUAAUAUCAGUUCAACACCUAAUUAAUUGCUUCUCAUGUACUUGCAACUAAUCACAAUAAAGCUCCCAUAUCAAUACUUAUUAUAAUAUAUCCUAACAUAGUCCUCACACCCGCACGCCCCUUCCUCCAUGGUUGUUUCUCUUGAUCUACGCUGCCUUAAUGACUGGAAAUCUGCAAAAGAAACUAGUACAGUAACAUGUACUUCGAUAUUUGCUCAUUGUUGGAUUCCACCGCAUGCUGGCUCUCUCAAGUGCAACGUAUAAACUACCAUAUUUCCAAAUCAUAAUGGUAUGAAUUUAGGGCCAUUGUCAGGGAUUCUAAUGGACAGUUUGUUGCGGCUUAUCUGGACUUACUGCAGGUCUAAACACUCCUCAGAUGGCUGAAGUGCUUGGCAUUGCUGGGGUUUUUCUUGGAUCAAACUUCAGCAUGUUAAAGCAAUCGAGCGUUUUGUUCUACAGAUCGGGAUGAUUCAGAGUUUGGUAGAAUUAUAAAUGAUUGUAAGAAGACAAGCUAAUAAACUGAUAUUAUUAUUUCUGAUUCUAUCGUGCAUUAAUAAGAGUAUCCUUUUAUUCCUUAAAAAAACCACCUCUUAAAAAUUAACUUAAAAACAAAAAUUAUAACAUGAAUUGGAAAUCAUAUGGAAUGUUCUCAAUAGUGUAUACAAUAGGUAUCAUCAGAUAAUUUUCAUGGAUCUGGAUUGAGCUUUUCAGAUUCACUCCAGAUGAGUUCCUUGAUAUUUUCCAGAGGAAAUAGUGGCUGCUCAAAAUCAAAGUUGAAAGGGCUUGGGCAAACAGGCUCCUCAUUUUUACAGUGAUAAAGUGUCAAGUAAGGGUGGUUUAGAGCAUCAUCAACUGCAAAGAAGGAAACAAGAUGGGAGAAUCUUUGUCAAUCAGUAAUAUUAAUUACACUAAAUUUAAGAAUUUAAUAAAGACCUAAAAAGUAAGACAUGAUUUCAACAUGUUUUGUCAACCAUGACCUUCAUUCUAACUAUCUGUUAUCAUUUUCAUCCUUAAAUCUUAUCACUGUGCUACAAAACCGCCAUUAGAAUACAUAAUCAAGUCACCUGCCACAAGAUUAUACCUGUGUUAUGUGUAAGUUACCGUCUUAUUAUUAAACGUCCGACUGAUGAAAUAUUAGACUAAAACUGAGAUAAAAAGUAGGAGCGUUCCGACAACAAUAGCUUUAACCAAAACGCUAUCUCUGUGAAUUAUAGAAUUGAUAACAAAUUUUAUAAUAGCAUUUAAACCGUUAUAUGAAUAACUAUCGGUUAAUAGUUAUUAAAUAAUUAAUUUGACUAAAGACACAGUUACAAAAAAAUUUGUGAUUUGAUCUAAUAUAAAAAUAUAAAAAAAUUAAUUCAGUUUAUGAUUUUGAAAUCAAAAUAUUCUAAACUGAAUUGAAUCAAACAAAACGUAUAUUAAUAUGUAUUUUUUUAUGUACAUCUAGAUUAAUCAAAUUUUUUUUAAUAAACUAUAUAUAUUAUAAAUUUUUUGGUAUAUCUUACCUAUACUACUAAGUCAAUAAGUCAAUAAGUUUUCUACAAAAAAAAAAAAGUAUUCAUAAAUCUUUAACAAUGUAAAGUAUUUUGUAUAAUUUUCUUUUAUAUAGCAAUAAAUAUGUUUCACACCACCCACCUAACACAAUUCAUAAAAAAGAAAAUUAGUAGUUUUUUUUUUAAAGAAUAUAAAAUCAGUAGUUAAAAGUCAAUACUUGAUGCUGAAUGAUUUGAAAAACAAUUAUAUAUUUAUGUUGUAUUAUUACUUUUUAAUUAUAACAUUAUUUAUGAUUAUAUUUCGUUAAAUAUUUAUAAAUAAUUAGAAUAAAAAUAAAAGAUAAAUAAUCCAAUUAAAACAAGUUGAUUUGGUCUAACUGUGAUUUAGUUAUCAAAUCAAUUCGAUAUCUGAUCCGAUUUUAAGAAUAGUGAUUUUCUUUUUAAAAAAAAAUUAAAAUAAAAAAUACUCUUUAAAAAAUCGAUUCCCACUUGCUCACACAACAUUUGCUAAAGAUUCUGUGUGUCAUAUAACACUUUCUCAUUCACACCGAUCAGCUAGUGCGCUGUCACUUGAUAUCGGAUCUUUUCUAAAUGAAGAAUUUGCCCUUCGACGGGAACUCCUACUAUUACUAUCUGCCUACGUCACUCUUUAUUUAAUAAAGCUAUUUCCCACGGUCAAGCCUAGUAGAGCUCCUAGUCAGCUCACUUCACGCGCACAGGCAAGACAUUAUUGCUUAUGUUUAGGCGUGACAUAACACUUUUAAUUUAUUAAUAGGAAAUUAGGUAGAAUAUGUUGAUAGAAAAGUCUAUUUUGUUUAAUUUAAUUCAACAAUGUCGGUUUAAUUAAUUAAUUGGAAAUUGAGGUGGAAAAGGACAUAGAAAAGUUUGUUUUGUGUCGGUUAAUUUGCUUUUUUAAAGGACAUUAGCGGUUUGUUCUUUCAUUCUCGGAUGACAUUCUUUCUUCUCCUCACCUCUGUUGAAUCAAAACUCCUUAUCGACUGAUGUCAAGAUCUCUAGUCGUAAGAUCACGACAGAAUUAAAGGAUUAGGGUUUUAGGGGAAUAUAAACAUAAGAAAAUUGAGAGAGAAGAGAAGAGAAGAGGAAGAAUAAGAGAUACAAAGAAAAUUUAUUCCACUGAUAAGAUCAUCAUUCACCGCCGUUAACAUCAAUCCGGUUGUUCUUCCGUUAUGGCAAGCGAAGUAGCCGAACAGUCAUUACCCUCGUCUGAUAGACAGAACAUACCGGCUCCGGUUACAUUGAAUGAGAUCAAUGCAAUAAUUUCAAUCUUACAUAGGAUGCGCCAAGGGGAAUCCACUUUAGUCUAUGGAUGCAUGAACUGCUAUAUGUACAAUUUGCUCGGCAACUUGAAAGAUCCCGAGCCAUUGGACGCACUAAUUCAGUCUUGUAUUCUUAAGCAUUUGGCUGCGCUUUAUGCAUCAGAAAAUAUAAGAGACAGCAAGAAGGCUGACUAUUAUAUUAGGUAUCUGUUGUAUUUGAUGAUUGCUGAAAAGACAACAGGUUUUCUUGAUGAACGUGCUUCUGUAAUUCUACAGUUAUGCAAGUUUUUGAGGACGAUGGUUUGUCUUGAGGAUUCUUUAUAUGUUUUAAGUCUUCACAGUUUAAGAGAUUUGGCGGAAAAGGCCAAUUAUGUGCUUCUUGAUAGGUAUAAAAUAUUGUUCCCGGAAUGGCAGACUCUACCCAUGUUUGACGAUUUGGCAUAUAGAUUGCUGAAGGAUUUGCAUCAGUGCAUCACUUCACCUUCAACCAAGGAGACAAUGGACUCAUUAAUAAGUGAUUUUCGUGACUUCAAGGCAUUAUCACGCCUUUUAUACCAUGCUAUUCAGGAACAGAAAGAGAAGCAAGAAGACAAGGGGAAGGAAGAGGAGGAGGAGGAGGAGGAGAAGGCAGCGCCCAUUUCUUCAGAGAGAUAUAAAAAUGACGGAAGAAAAUUGUCUAUUCAUUAUAUUUGUUUUAAAUUGUUGCAUGACAUUGAGUUCCUGCUUUGAACAGUACAAAAAUCUCUAGUUAAUGGAGAAGAAGUCCAGCCUGAAUGGUCUAUGUACCUUGCCAUUUUGGAAGAACUGAACUUCAUUUCUAGACUUUGCCCCCAUUCUCGGGAUAAAUUUUGGAGUGUAUUAAAAAGUGCAAAGCUUCCAUUAGGUGCUCUAAUUGUUCGAUUCGCUAAGAGAAGAGAUGGCUAUGACUAUCAAUGGCUUCUUGAGCACAACGAUGUAACUGAUAAUGAUUCCAGGAUGCAUUGGCCAUGUUGAUGAUCCCUGGGGUUAAGG
Molecule: long non-coding RNA, 6331 nt
Filed under: Jatropha curcas
Lineage: Eukaryota; Viridiplantae; Streptophyta; Magnoliopsida; Malpighiales; Euphorbiaceae
Description: long non-coding RNA (JCUR_LNC000967)
Source: RNAcentral